This 503-nucleotide ribosomal RNA is filed under the name uncultured bacterium. RNAcentral's name for it is "bacterial SSU rRNA". It matches the Rfam family "Bacterial small subunit ribosomal RNA", at positions 19 to 518 of the family's 1533-position model. The record is from RNAcentral.
AUGGCUCAGGAUGAACGCUAGCUACAGGCUUAACACAUGCAAGUCGAGGGGUAGCAGGGUAGCAAUACCGCUGACGACCGGCGCACGGGUGAGUAACACGUAUCCAACCUUCCCAUAACUCAGGGAUAGCCUUUCGAAAGAAAGAUUAAUACCUGAUAGUACUUUUUCAAGGCAUCUUGAGAAAGUUAAAGAUUUAUUGGUUAUGGAUGGGGAUGCGUUCCAUUAGAUAGUUGGUGAGGUAACGGCUCACCAAGUCUUCGAUGGAUAGGGGUUCUGAGAGGAAGGUCCCCCACAUUGGUACUGAGACACGGACCAAACUCCUACGGGAGGCAGCAGUGAGGAAUAUUGGUCAAUGGGCGAGAGCCUGAACCAGCCAAGUAGCGUGAAGGAAUGAAGGUCCUAUGGAUUGUAAACUUCUUUUAUAGUGGAAUAAAGUGAUCCACGUGUGGAUUUUUGUAUGUAUACUAUGAAUAAGGAUCGGCUAACUCCGUGCCAGCCGCCGC